RNAcentral lists this transfer RNA (58 nucleotides) under Acinetobacter baumannii. Its description in RNAcentral is "tRNA-Pro". It matches the Rfam family "tRNA", at positions 8 to 62 of the family's 71-position model. Rfam says of the family: Transfer RNA (tRNA) molecules are approximately 80 nucleotides in length. The record is from RNAcentral. Lineage: Bacteria; Pseudomonadati; Pseudomonadota; Gammaproteobacteria; Moraxellales; Moraxellaceae.
UAGCACAGCCUGGUAGUGCACCUGGUUUGGGACCAGGGGGUCGUAGGUUCGAAUCCUA